Molecule: ribosomal RNA, 1364 nt
Filed under: Staphylococcus aureus 08-02906
Lineage: Bacteria; Bacillati; Bacillota; Bacilli; Caryophanales; Staphylococcaceae
Also listed under: 6 other names
Description: bacterial SSU rRNA
Rfam family: Bacterial small subunit ribosomal RNA
Source: RNAcentral
AGAGUUUGAUCCUGGCUCAGGAUGAACGCUGGCGGCGUGCCUAAUACAUGCAAGUCGAGCGAACGGACGAGAAGCUUGCUUCUCUGAUGUUAGCGGCGGACGGGUGAGUAACACGUGGAUAACCUACCUAUAAGACUGGGAUAACUUCGGGAAACCGGAGCUAAUACCGGAUAAUAUUUUGAACCGCAUGGUUCAAAAGUGAAAGACGGUCUUGCUGUCACUUAUAGAUGGAUCCGCGCUGCAUUAGCUAGUUGGUAAGGUAACGGCUUACCAAGGCAACGAUGCAUAGCCGACCUGAGAGGGUGAUCGGCCACACUGGAACUGAGACACGGUCCAGACUCCUACGGGAGGCAGCAGUAGGGAAUCUUCCGCAAUGGGCGAAAGCCUGACGGAGCAACGCCGCGUGAGUGAUGAAGGUCUUCGGAUCGUAAAACUCUGUUAUUAGGGAAGAACAUAUGUGUAAGUAACUGUGCACAUCUUGACGGUACCUAAUCAGAAAGCCACGGCUAACUACGUGCCAGCAGCCGCGGUAAUACGUAGGUGGCAAGCGUUAUCCGGAAUUAUUGGGCGUAAAGCGCGCGUAGGCGGUUUUUUAAGUCUGAUGUGAAAGCCCACGGCUCAACCGUGGAGGGUCAUUGGAAACUGGAAAACUUGAGUGCAGAAGAGGAAAGUGGAAUUCCAUGUGUAGCGGUGAAAUGCGCAGAGAUAUGGAGGAACACCAGUGGCGAAGGCGACUUUCUGGUCUGUAACUGACGCUGAUGUGCGAAAGCGUGGGGAUCAAACAGGAUUAGAUACCCUGGUAGUCCACGCCGUAAACGAUGAGUGCUAAGUGUUAGGGGGUUUCCGCCCCUUAGUGCUGCAGCUAACGCAUUAAGCACUCCGCCUGGGGAGUACGACCGCAAGGUUGAAACUCAAAGGAAUUGACGGGGACCCGCACAAGCGGUGGAGCAUGUGGUUUAAUUCGAAGCAACGCGAAGAACCUUACCAAAUCUUGACAUCCUUUGACAACUCUAGAGAUAGAGCUUUCCCCUUCGGGGGACAAAGUGACAGGUGGUGCAUGGUUGUCGUCAGCUCGUGUCGUGAGAUGUUGGGUUAAGUCCCGCAACGAGCGCAACCCUUAAGCUUAGUUGCCAUCAUUAAGUUGGGCACUCUAAGUUGACUGCCGGUGACAAACCGGAGGAAGGUGGGGAUGACGUCAAAUCAUCAUGCCCCUUAUGAUUUGGGCUACACACGUGCUACAAUGGACAAUACAAAGGGCAGCGAAACCGCGAGGUCAAGCAAAUCCCAUAAAGUUGUUCUCAGUUCGGAUUGUAGUCUGCAACUCGACUACAUGAAGCUGGAAUCGCUAGUAAUCGUAGAUCAGC